This 1647-nucleotide long non-coding RNA is filed under the name Musa acuminata (dwarf banana). Its description in RNAcentral is "long non-coding RNA (MACU_LNC003489)". Lineage: Eukaryota; Viridiplantae; Streptophyta; Magnoliopsida; Zingiberales; Musaceae. The record is from RNAcentral.
UGGCAUGCAUUUGCAAUGAUUUAUCUCGAUCAUGGAUUGAAGUGAUUUGCUCGGGAUGCAAUCUUUAGGCGUGUUUAGUGUUUGCACCAGCUAAAUCAUCUGGUUUUUGAUGGAAGGAAACAUUCCUUUCUGCUAAGAGAGAUACUCUACUACUACGAUAGUGAUGGUACAGCGAAGUUGCAGCUAGCACUGGUGACAAAUACCAUCUUAGGAAUUCAUGUUACAGGUGAAGAGAAGUAUCGACGUCUGCUUUGUUGCUCGCGGAAGAGCUUUGAGCAGCGCUUGCACGGGGCCACAAGCUCAUGGACAGCGAGGUGUCGAGUGUCUGGGACUGGUGAUGGAGUCGGCCGGACGCGGCGCCAGGGAACAGCCACUUGGGAUGCUCGGGGGGAACGCUUGGGCUCCUGACGACGACCGACCGGUGCAGUUGUCUUUCCUCUCUCAUCUCUCUAACUCUUUGCAGCUGCUUGAACCUCUCCUGCAGCAGGGCGAUGGAGGAGUUGACGCCGACGGGUCCCGUGUCUUCCCUCCCCAUGGAAGCAGGCAGCUCCAGGCUGAGUAGGUGAGUGGGAGUGGUGUGUUAGCUCGAAGGUAGCAGUGAAGUGUUGGAUUUAUAGGGAAUGAUUCCUGUGUUGUUGCAUUAAUUUUCACGCAUAUUGGUGCCCUCUAAUUGAUCCAGGAUGAUGCACGGCGAGUAGGAGGAGAAUCUAUGGUGGAAGGCAAAGUCCAAGUGCUAAAGGGUGUGAAGGUUGCCUCAGGAGUUGUUUGGUGAAUGGGAGCAGGGCCAAAGCCACUUUUUAAAGGGAGAUAGGGGUGAGGGAGUAGACCAAGGAAGCAUGGAGGUAUGCAUUUGGAAGGGAGUUUUGAGAAGAAUAAGAUUAUGUGACUGGUUUGUCCUCUAUCACUUGCCCAGAUUGCAAUCUCUUAAUCACCUCCUGUUGUUCUAUUUUAUGGGGGGGCUUUGGAAGACAGCCUUUCCAGGUUCCUUCCAUCUCUUCCAAUUCUUGGGUAAUCUAUUCAUGCAUGCUUUUGACUACAGAAGCAAAAGCAUUAUUAACUUGGAUUUAAUGGAUUGCAUGUAUCGUCCCAGCAGAAGGCUGUGCUGCUGCUGUAGUUUCAAUCUCUUACGUCUGCAACUUUCUACUUUGUCGUGAGUCAUUUGGAUGGGAAGGGACUUCUGCUGGUCUGAAGGCAGUGACACUUAUGCUGCUGGUGCUGUUCUCUUGUCAUGCUUCGUUUUCCUUCUUGGAGUGAUACUGCCAUCUCCACAUCACCAUCCUUUUCCGCUUGUUCUGUGAAGUAGCCUUCAAUGGUCCUAUAGUUCCAUUUGCAGUGGCAUCAAUGUUAAAGAUGUGGAGUAUCUUCUCUAGAAUGAUGGAUUGAGAGCAAGCAACUAAGUGCAUGAUGAUAUGUAAAUAGAUCGCACCAACCUCAUCUAGUUUUUGGCUUAAGAUUAUACCAUACAACACUAUGUUUUUGGCAAUUUCAGAGAAGCUUAAUCUCAGUGAAGAAGAUGUUUCACAGUAAUUUGUUUCUCAUUAUUCUUUUUCUGUGGAUUCCACAUCUAUCUCUGCCUAAAAUCUGUUCCAAGACAUAUCUAUUGUACAUCCAAUUUGUACCUAUCUUGAUUUGUAUAUUUCAACAAUC